AUUGAACGCUGGCGGCAUGCCUUACACAUGCAAGUCGAACGGUAACAGGUCUUCGGAUGCUGACGAGUGGCGAACGGGUGAGUAAUCCAUCGGAACGUGCCUAGUAGUGGGGGAUAACUACUCGAAAGAGUGGCUAAUACCGCAUGAGAUCUACGGAUGAAAGCAGGGGAUCGAAAGACCUUGUGCUACUAGAGCGGCCGAUGGCAGAUUAGGUAGUUGGUGGGAUAAAAGCUUACCAAGCCGACGAUCUGUAGCUGGUCUGAGAGGACGAUCAGCCACGCUGGGACUGAGAGACGGCCCAGACUCCUGCGGGAGGCAGCAGUGGGGAAUGUUGGACAAGGGGCGAAAGCCUAAUCCAGCAAUGCCGCGGGCAGGAUGUAGGCCUUCGAGUUGUAAACUGCUUUUGGACGGAACGAAAAGCCCGGGGUUAAUACCCUGGGGUCAUGACGGUACCGUAAGAAUAAGCACCGGCUAACUACGUGCCAGCCGCCGCCGUAA
This 498-nucleotide ribosomal RNA is filed under the name uncultured bacterium. RNAcentral's name for it is "partial 16S ribosomal RNA". It matches the Rfam family "Bacterial small subunit ribosomal RNA", at positions 30 to 523 of the family's 1533-position model. The record is from RNAcentral.